GACGAACGCUGGCGGCGUGCUUAUCACAUGCAAGUCGAACGGAAAGGCCCUGCUUUUGUGGGGUGCCCGAGUGGCGAACGGGUGAGUAACACGUGAGUAACCUGCCCUUGACUUUGGGAUAACUUCAGGAAACUGGGGCUAAUACCGGAUAGGAGCUCCUGCUGCAUGGGGGGGGUUGGAAAGUUUCGGCGGUUGGGGGUGGACUCGCGGCUUAUCAGCUUGUUGGUGGAGUAGUGGCUUACCAAGGCUUUGACGGGUAGCCGGCCUGAGAGGGUGACCGGCCACCUUGGGACUGAGGUACGGCCCAGACUCCUACGGGAGGCAGCGGUGGGGAAUAUUGCACAAUGGGCGGGAGCCUGAUGCGGCAACGCCGCGUGCGGGAUGACGGCCUUCGGGUUGUAAACCGCUUUCGCCUGUGACGAAGCGUGAGUGACGGUAAUGGGUAAAGAAGCACCGGCUAACUACGUG
Molecule: ribosomal RNA, 468 nt
Filed under: uncultured bacterium
Lineage: Bacteria
Description: partial 16S ribosomal RNA
Rfam family: Bacterial small subunit ribosomal RNA
Source: RNAcentral